This 313-nucleotide unclassified non-coding RNA is filed under the name plant metagenome. Its description in RNAcentral is "partial contains 5.8S ribosomal RNA, internal transcribed spacer 2, and large subunit ribosomal RNA". The stretch from base 1 to 105 matches the Rfam family "5.8S ribosomal RNA", at positions 50 to 154 of the family's 154-position model. The record is from RNAcentral.
GAAAUGCGAUACGUAGUGUGAAUUGCAGAAUUCAGUGAAUCAUCGAAUCUUUGAACGCACAUUGCGCCCUUUGGUAUUCCAAAGGGCAUGCCUGUUCGAGCGUCAUUUGUACCCUCAAGCUUUGCUUGGUGUUGGGCGUCUUUUGUCUUUGGCCUCACCCAAAGACUCGCCUUAAAACGAUUGGCAGCCGGCCUACUGGUUUCGCAGCGCAGCACAUUUUUGCGCUUGCAAUCAGCACAAGGACGGCAAUCCAUCAAGACUACAUUUUUACGUUUGACCUCGGAUCAGGUAGGGAUACCCGCUGAACUUAAGC